RNAcentral lists this long non-coding RNA (1690 nucleotides) under Canis lupus familiaris (dog). RNAcentral describes it as "lncRNA (ENSCAFG00000057819.1)". The record is from RNAcentral. Lineage: Eukaryota; Metazoa; Chordata; Mammalia; Carnivora; Canidae.
UUGCUGCUUGGGGAGGUCCCUCUAGACCUCCUCUCUGUCCACAUCCUUCCAAGGUUGAGACUCCUCCCUUAUUUACAUACCUCAAAGUGAAGGUUUUUGAGCAACGUGCAAGAUGUGAAGCUCACGUGCACAACUUGAUAUACUCAAGGCAGUGUUUGGGGUCUGUGAGAGACUCAGUGAAAGAGAGGACCUGGGUGUCUAGAUAUUUGACUGUCUAAAGGAUAUCAAAACACCUAGUGGAACAUGGGACAAAGGAGCUGAUGGUCCAUUCUGUUUAUGUGGAACAAGCCAAUUGUUUCCUCCUAUGUGAGUGGCUGGUUUUGUUUUAUCUUUAUGAAGCCACUAUCCCCCUUUUGCCCCACAGAACAACUAGAACUCAUUCUUUUUUGUGAUCUUUGUUUUGGCUUUUUUUUUCCCUUUUGAUUUCUUCCAAUGAACUCUUAUUUUGCUGCAUAAUAUCAAAAUAUUUUCUUCAAAGACAAUUUCCUUUAAAAAUAAACUGUUAUCAGGAGAGAAGCUAUGUUCACAGCUGGUAAAGGCAUGAUUAAAUAAUCACCGUAUGGGGAAUUGAAAAGCAAUUUCAUAAUAUAGCUUCAGAAUCCAAAGAGAAAAUCGAAGGAAACAUUCCAGUUAGUUAAGAAAACUUUUAAUCAAAUGAAGUGUUUGAACUCUGUUUGGGUUUUGUAUUUUUUUUUUUUCUUUUGGCAGCUUUCUGCAUGUGCAUGUUUUACUUGGUGAGACUUUGUGAGAGGUUAUCUUAAUACAGUUAUGGGCUUCCUGAGAGUUUAGUUAACCUUCUAAUUACAUAUAAAAUAGCCUUGCAAAUAGUUACACUAAGUGUUUUGGACAUAAAUUUGAACAUGGUUUCUUAUCUUUACUGCCAGUCUCCACCAUAGCUCUGUUUUUUAUUUUUUUAUUUUAUUUUCAAAAUUAGUGUUAGUCUAGGAGGAAAUAAGAAUAUUUUAAGAGAAACGCCUAUAUUCCCUAUGCUCACAGAGUGACAUAAACUCUUUUAGUAGUGAAGAUCCAGAGAAAGAGAACAACUUUUGAGUCACAGAGGCUGGGGAUCUGCCAGUGAUCAGAGUGUAACUCUCAGAAAUCCCCUAACUUCUCUGAGGCUCCAAUUACCUCAUCUGUAGACUGGGUACAACACUAUCACCCUUCAGGGUUGUGCUGUGGACUAGAGUUUGCCAGUGCAAAGCCCUCAUUACAGUGCCUGACAUGCCUGGGAUGCUUGGGAAACAAUAGCUAUGAUUAUUACCACAGCUGGUGAUUCAGAGGCAAACUUUCUAGAGAAAAGUUUUCACCUGGAAACCGAUAAAAUGUUGGAACUACCAAAGAGGACUUUGUAAAAUAUGUAUGAGAAUUUCUAAGGCCACAACUAUACAGAUUCAUUUUAUUUUAUUUUAUUUUAUUUUAUUUUAUUUUAUUUAUUCAUGAGAGACACAGAGAGAGGCAAAGACACAGGCCGAGGGAGAAGCAGGCCUCCCGCAAGUAGCCUAAUGUGAGACUCGAUCCUGGAUCCUGGGAUCACGCCCUGAGCUGAAGGCAGACACUGAACUGCUGAGCCACUCAGGUGUCCCAAUUAUACAGAUCCUAAGCUGAAAUACAACUUAACACCUAUGGUUUUGGGAUCAGUAUAUAUUGAUUUUAGGUGAGAAUUCCUUGAUUUUUCUUUUUCUUUUUUUUG